GGGGGAUGUAAGGAAGGUGACAGGGGGUCUUCUGGUGGUGGGGCAGAAGGGGUUGUAGACAUGACAUAUAGUUGGUAAUCUGGUGACGACUGAACACGUAAGGCACCUAUGAUCAUGUGAUUGAUGCCUUUUUUGAUGCAGGGGGCCACACAGCAGCAGACCACCCCCAACAGAGUCAGGAUGAGAAGGAAGGGAGUCACCAGACGAAAGAGUAGUUGUUGCCAGGUUCCUUGGAAAAACCAAUCCCACCACGAGGCUGCGGGGGUUUCGUCUGCAGUCAUGGCACCUUCCAGGUUCCUCAGCGACUGGAGGGAGUCCUCGAUGGAUUCUGAGCUGUUGUUGGGAAUGUUUGUAAACACUGAGGUAAGACUACGGGUGGUGUGGGAUAACUUCCACCCCACCGUUCCUACUGUUGCAGUAUGUAAAGGUACGUUCUCCCACGAUUGAUGCCACACCCCAUGUUUCUCCUGUGUUUGUAUAUACCAUUCAUAGUCCUGGUAGGAAUCACCCCACAGCCUACCACCACUAUGGCUUUGGAUCGUGAGACUCUUAAAAGGGAUGUCAAUUUUUACCACACGGUUGGGAUCAACGGAGAGGGGGACGCAGUACACAGCACCAAACGCAAGUGUUGUGGGGCAGCGGCCUAAAUAUGGUCCCCAUGGCUGAGCUAUGAGGCCUCCAUUGCAGCUGAUGACCAACAGGAAUCCCAAGAGGAGAUGGAGUGGUCCCAUACUUAUGGUUCAGGAGUUGUAUCUGGGGGAGAGGGUUUUUGUACCUUUUUCCCGUGUGACUGGUGUAUCCAGGUGUCCCUUUCAGCUAUCUUAAACGCAGUGGGUGUGGUCAGCAAUACCGUGUAAGGACCAUCCCAACGAGGCGUACACCAGUGUUUUCUCUUUAUCACCUUCACCAAUACCCAGUCACCAGGACGCAGGAGAUCUGAAACAGGCAAGGGAGAACUGGGCAGAUUAUUUGCAUUAACAACAGUUCUAUCUUCAAACAGUUUUAGCAUCCAUUUUGUGAUGAGAUCUAGUUCCCCCUCAUUCUCCUGCACCCAUACCGACUGUGUGAUGGGGAGGUGAAAAGGUCUCCCCGUAACUGUUUCAAAAGGGGUCAGACCUUGUGGAGUGGGCGUGAUGCGCAUGUAUGUCUCGACUAUACAAAUACAAUCUGGCCAUGGUCUAUUUGUUUGUUCCAUG
RNAcentral lists this long non-coding RNA (1196 nucleotides) under Gouania willdenowi (blunt-snouted clingfish). Its description in RNAcentral is "lncRNA (ENSGWIG00000012132.1)". The record is from RNAcentral. Lineage: Eukaryota; Metazoa; Chordata; Actinopteri; Blenniiformes; Gobiesocidae.